Molecule: ribosomal RNA, 390 nt
Filed under: uncultured fungus
Lineage: Eukaryota; Fungi
Description: bacterial SSU rRNA
Rfam family: Eukaryotic small subunit ribosomal RNA
Source: RNAcentral
GAUUAUAUAGGUGAGAGGAGCAUGCCCGUUCUUAGUUGGUGGGGUGACUUGUCUGCUUAAUUGCGAUAACGAACGAGAACUUAACCUGCUAAAUAGCACGCAUUGCUCCGGCAGUGCGCUGGCUUCUUAGAGGGACUCUCGGCUCAAGCCGAAGGAAGUUUGAGGCAAUAACAGGUCUGUGAUGCCCUUAGAAGUUCUGGACCGCACGCGCGCUACCACUGCCGGGGUCAGCGAGUUCCAUGACCGAAAGGCCCGGGUAAUCUAGUUAGCCCCCGUCGUGCUGGGGAUAGAGCAUUGCAAUUAUUGCUCUUCAUCGAGGAAUCCCUCCUCCCUCGAAAGUCCCCAGCUUGCGUUGAUUCCAUCCCUGCCCCCCCCCAAUCGCCGCCCGUC